GACGAACGCUGGCGGCGUGCCUAACACAUGCAAGUAGAACGCACAGUUUAUACCGUAGCUCGCUACACCAUAAACCGUGAGUUGCGGACGGGUGAGUAACGCGUAGGUAACCUUCCUUGGAGCGGGGGGUAACUAUAGGUAACGAUAGCUAAUACCGCAUAAUAUUGAUUAUUGCGUGAUAAUUGAGUCAAAGAUCCUAUGGCAUCACUACCGGAUGGACCUGCGUUGUAUUAGCUAGUAGGUGAGGUAACGGCCCACCUAGGCGACGAUACAUAGCCGACCUGGGAGGGUGGUCGGCCACACUGGGACUGAGACACGGCACAGACUCCUACGGGAGGGAGCAGUAGGGAAUCUUUGGAAAUGGACGAAAGUCUGACCGAGCAAAGCCGGGUGAGUGAAGAAGGUUUUCGGAUCGUAAAGCUCUGUUGUAAGAGAAGAACGAGUGUGAGAGUGGAAAGUCGACACUGUGACGGUAUCUUAACAGAAAGGGCCGGCUAACUACGUG
RNAcentral lists this ribosomal RNA (505 nucleotides) under uncultured bacterium. Its description in RNAcentral is "partial 16S ribosomal RNA". It matches the Rfam family "Bacterial small subunit ribosomal RNA", at positions 28 to 507 of the family's 1533-position model. The record is from RNAcentral.